Cavia porcellus (domestic guinea pig) is the source of this 365-nucleotide long non-coding RNA. RefSeq lists it as uncharacterized. The record is from RefSeq and is a predicted model, not a curated record. NCBI's taxonomy places the organism in Eukaryota, Metazoa, Chordata, Mammalia, Rodentia, Caviidae. The transcript has 3 exons.
AGGUCUCUUCUGGUUCCAGAUGAAUUUUAGGAGUGAUAUCUCUAGAUCUAUGAGAGGUGCCACCAAGCAAGAGAAUAGUGAGGUAAGAUCUGCAUUACACUGGCCACCCUCAUGGGAACAAGCAGCUAAGAGUCAUUUUCCAAAAGCCUCAAGAGCCCAGCUCUGAGCCUCUCACAGCAUGUCCGCUUUGGGAAUGAGCCACUCUGGAAGCACUCUGGGAUGCAAGGCAGGGGAAGACGAUUCAGACAGCAAACCUGAGAGGACUGUCGCCAUCAGGCCCCGCUGGGUGUGCAGUAUAUCCUGCUAUUCUAGAACCAGACCUGUUCUGUUAUUUCCUUUGAUUAAACUCCUGUUUUCUCUCAGUC